RNAcentral lists this ribosomal RNA (414 nucleotides) under uncultured prokaryote. RNAcentral describes it as "bacterial SSU rRNA". It matches the Rfam family "Bacterial small subunit ribosomal RNA", at positions 355 to 774 of the family's 1533-position model. The record is from RNAcentral.
UGAGGAAUUUUGCGCAAUGGGCGAAAGCCUGACGCAGCGACGCCGCGUGGAGGAAGACGGCCUUCGGGUUGUAAACUCCUGUCAGGGGUGAAGAAACUUCGCAAGAAGCUGACGGUAACCCCAGAGGAAGCCCCGGCUAACUACGUGCCAGCAGCCGCGGUAAUACGUAGGGGGCAAGCGUUGCUCGGAAUUACUGGGCGUAAAGGGUGUGUAGGUGGCUGAUUAAGUUAAGGAUGAAAUCCCGAGGCUCAACUUCGGAACUGUCCUUGAUACUGGUCAGCUUGAGGCUAGUAAAGGAGAGCGGAAUUCCCGGUGGAGCGGUGAAAUGCGUAGAUAUUAGGAGGAACACCAGUAGCGAAGGCGGCUUUCUGGACUGUAACUGACACUGAGGCACGAAAGCGUGGGGAGCAAACA